GAUGAACGCUGGCGGCGUGCCUAAUACAUGCAAGUCGAGCGAACGGACGAGAAGCUUGCUUCUCUGAUGUUAGCGGCGGACGGGUGAGUAACACGUGGAUAACCUACCUAUAAGACUGGGAUAACUUCGGGAAACCGUAGCUAAUACCGUAUAAUAUUUUGAACCGCAUGGUUCAAAAGUGAAAGACGGUCUUGCUGUCACUUAUAGAUGGAUCCGCGCUGCAUUAGCUAGUUGGUAAGGUAACGGCUUACCAAGGCAACGAUGCAUAGCCGAACUGAGAGGGUGAUCGGCCACACUGGAACUGAGCCACGGUCCAGACUCCUACGGGAGGCAGCAGUAGGGAAUCUUCCGCAAUGGGCGAAAGCAUGACGGAGCAACGCCGCGUGAGUGAUGAAGGUCUUCGGAUCGUAAAACUCUGUUAUUAGGGAAGAACAUAUGUGUAAGUAACUGUGCACAUAUUGACGGUACCUAAUCAGAAAGCCACGGCUAACUACGUG
RNAcentral lists this ribosomal RNA (497 nucleotides) under uncultured bacterium. RNAcentral describes it as "partial 16S ribosomal RNA". It matches the Rfam family "Bacterial small subunit ribosomal RNA", at positions 28 to 507 of the family's 1533-position model. The record is from RNAcentral.